GGCCGAUUGGUGUAAUGGUGAACACACCUCAAUUGCGAGGAGUUCCCGGGUUCGAUUCCCGGGUCGGCUG
This 70-nucleotide transfer RNA is filed under the name Amycolatopsis pretoriensis. RNAcentral's name for it is "tRNA_Val_CAC". It matches the Rfam family "tRNA". Rfam says of the family: Transfer RNA (tRNA) molecules are approximately 80 nucleotides in length. The record is from RNAcentral. Lineage: Bacteria; Bacillati; Actinomycetota; Actinomycetes; Pseudonocardiales; Pseudonocardiaceae.